AGAUUGAACGCUGGCGGCAGGCCUAACACAUGCAAGUCGAGCGGUAGAGAGGUGCUUGCAUCUCUUGAGAGCGGCGGACGGGUGAGUAAUGCCUAGGAAUCUGCCUAGUGGUGGGGGAUAACGUUCGGAAACGGACGCUAAUACCGCAUACGUCCUACGGGAGAAAGCGGGGGACCUUCGGGCCUCGCGCCAUUAGAUGAGCCUAGGUCGGAUUAGCUAGUUGGUGGGGUAAAGGCCCACCAAGGCGACGAUCUGUAGCUGGUCUGAGAGGACGACCAGCCACACUGGAACUGAGACACGGUCCAGACU
This 309-nucleotide ribosomal RNA is filed under the name uncultured soil bacterium. RNAcentral describes it as "bacterial SSU rRNA". It matches the Rfam family "Bacterial small subunit ribosomal RNA", at positions 26 to 337 of the family's 1533-position model. The record is from RNAcentral.